CGAACCGGAAGGCUUGGGAGAGCCUCAAGGUUCGAUCAAUCCGGUGUGACGGCCUGGGAGGGCCUUCUUCACACGGAUUCACAAGGGGAGAACCACCGAUGGAGAAUGCCCUCCUCAUCGGACUGUCGCGGCAAAUGAUGCUCG
Nitrobacter sp. Nb-311A is the source of this 144-nucleotide non-coding RNA. NCBI's taxonomy places the organism in Bacteria, Pseudomonadati, Pseudomonadota, Alphaproteobacteria, Hyphomicrobiales, Nitrobacteraceae. The record is from Rfam.